Molecule: long non-coding RNA, 1337 nt
Organism: Triticum dicoccoides
Lineage: Eukaryota; Viridiplantae; Streptophyta; Magnoliopsida; Poales; Poaceae
Exons: 2
Source: RefSeq, a predicted model, not a curated record
AGGGGGCGGAGAGAAAGUCCACCGGUGGCCCCGUGAAGGUCGAGGAGGCCGCCGCCUCGUCGUGCUCACCUCGAUCCACUUUUUCUCGCAUGUGUUCGGUGCGGGCAGAGGAAAUAGCAGAGGAUCACGUCGACGUCGACGCCCGGGGGGUCGAAGGGAGGGGCAGCGGCCUGGAAGAGCGCGACGAGCAGCGAAGCAAGUCGGUCGUGGGGCUGGAGCAGCAGCACCACAGCCUCCUCGAUCCCCUGUUCUCAUAUCCUAUUCGUGCGAGCAUGGGAAAUAGCAGAGGAGCACGCACGUGUUGACAUCCGGGGAGUCAGAGGGGAGGCGACCUACCGGUGGAGCGCGGUGAGCAGUGGAUCCGGUCGGUCGUGGGGCUGAAGCAUCAGCGCCGCCGCUUCCUCCUUUCCUUUAUCAAAGCUGAAGUGGUGUCGUCGACGUCGUCGUUGAUGGUGGCGGUCAUGUUGCCUGGGACGCCGUCAACACGCCGGUGCUGCCGCUGCUGGUGGAACUAUGCAAGUCGCUGCUGGUGCAACACUGCUGCUCAUGGUGCCCAACGUCGUCGGCGCGUCGUCGGCGCGCAACUCUCCUACCUUCUGCCCACCGGGUCACCCGGCAACGUCGAUGGUUCAACAACAUGGUGAUCACCCGAAUGCCCAUCAAAAUUGUUGGCAUGUGUUGCGGCUCUCAUGGUCCUACUGCCAACGGUGGGCGUCCAAGAGGCACUUGACCGCCGUGGCACCCCUCGUCCUCAAACUGCGCUGGUUCGGCGACCGCUCUGGCAAGCACGUCCCAGCGGUAGGUGGGCGAAUUCAGCUGAAGGAGCCGGAGUACAAAGCUAUACUUCCCCCUUCUCAGUGCUUUUGAUUACAGUGAUUACAGUCAGUAGGACCCCUCCAACGUGCCAAAGAUUAGCACAUGGAGCUGCCGGAGCCGGACGGCCCAACCUCACCGCCGACAGAAAAGCGCACGAUGGUGCAUGGAGUCAUCAUCCAUGUUGGAUCGGUGGAGGAUCACAUCACCACACGUUGUCACAGCUUCACUUUCUGUGUUUUUGAUAUGGUUGAUGGCACCAGCCCUUCUCCUUUCGAAGAUGGAGGUCACGGGUUUGCAGGGACAGGCUGGAGAUUUUUAGAUUUAAUUGUUUGAAUACGUAUAUUUCAUUUCAUAUUGUGUCAAGUCUUGCGUACUGCUCCCUCCGCUCCAUCCGUUUCAAAUUUGUGAACGGAGGGGUGCUUCAUAUGAGCUUCUAUCUAUAAACUUUUGUCCGCAAUCUAUUUGUGAUAACUUCUCUCCAAGGUAGGAGCCACUUUUGUAUGCUUACUUCUCGUGAUUCA